UUGGCUCAGGAUGAACGCUGGCGGCGCACAUAAGACAUGCAAGUCGAACGGAAGUCGUAUUAAUUGAAGAGGAUUGAAGAUUUAUCAGAUUGAAUCAGAUUUUAAUACAAUGGCUUUAGUGGCGGACUGGUGAGUAACACGUAAGCAAUCUACCUAUUAGAGGGGAAUAACAAUGAGAAAUCAUUGCUAAUACCGCAUAAGCUUGUAGGACCGCAUGGUCUAGCAAGAAAAGGAGCAAUCCGCUAAUAGAUGAGCUUGCGGCUGAUUAGCUAGUUGGUUAGGUAACGGCUGACCAAGGCAACGAUCAGUAGCCGGGCUGAGAGGCUCUGCGGCCACAUUGGGACUGAGAUACGGCCCAGACUCCUACGGGAGGCAGCAGUGGGGAAUA
This 388-nucleotide ribosomal RNA is filed under the name uncultured rumen bacterium clone 10. RNAcentral describes it as "bacterial SSU rRNA". It matches the Rfam family "Bacterial small subunit ribosomal RNA", at positions 19 to 363 of the family's 1533-position model. The record is from RNAcentral.